GGGCGUGUAGUUUAGUGGUAUAAUAUUCGCUUUGCAUUGAAAAUAAGACAAAUAGUGCCUGCGAAAGGUCCAGGGUUCAAUUCCCUGCGCGUCCA
Non-coding RNA from Ustulina deusta, 95 nucleotides. Lineage: Eukaryota; Fungi; Ascomycota; Sordariomycetes; Xylariales; Xylariaceae. The record is from the annotation of a GenBank genome assembly.